CCUACGGGGGGCAGCAGUGGGGAAUAUUGCACAAUGGGGGAAACCCUGAUGCAGCGACGCCGCGUGAGUGAAGAAGUAAUUCGUUAUGUAAAGCUCUAUCAGCGGGGAAGAAAAUGACGGUACCUGAGUAAGAAGCCCCGGCUAACUACGUGCCAGCAGCCGCGGUAAUACGUAGGGGGCAAGCGUUAUCCGGAUUUACUGGGUGUAAAGGGAGCGUAGACGGCAGUGCAAGUCUGUAGUGAAAGGCGGGGGCUCAACCCCCGGACUGCUCUGGAAACUGUACGGCUGGAGUGCAGGAGAGGUAAGUGGAACUCCAUGUGUAGCGGUGGAAUGCGUAGAUAUAUGGAAGAACACCAGUGGCGAAGGCGGCUCGCUGGUCUGCAACUGACGCUGAGGCUCGAAAGCAUGGGUAGCGAACAGGAUUAGAUACCCUUGUAGUC
This 440-nucleotide ribosomal RNA is filed under the name uncultured bacterium. RNAcentral describes it as "partial 16S ribosomal RNA". It matches the Rfam family "Bacterial small subunit ribosomal RNA", at positions 338 to 795 of the family's 1533-position model. The record is from RNAcentral.